GUCCACGCCGUAAACGGUGGGCGCUAGGUGUGGGGAACAUUCCACGUUCUCCGUGCCGCAGCUAACGCAUUAAGCGCCCCGCCUGGGGAGUACGGCCGCAAGGCUAAACUCAAGGAAUUGACGGGGCCCGCACAAGCGGCGGAGCAUGCGGCUUAAUUCGAUGCAACGCGAAGAACCUUACCUAGGCUUGACAGUUGGGGAAAUCUGGCAGAGAUGUCAGGUCCGCAAGGGCCCAAACAGGUGGUGCAUGGCUGUCGU
This 258-nucleotide ribosomal RNA is filed under the name uncultured bacterium. Its description in RNAcentral is "partial 16S ribosomal RNA". It matches the Rfam family "Bacterial small subunit ribosomal RNA", at positions 793 to 1055 of the family's 1533-position model. The record is from RNAcentral.